Lepidothrix coronata (blue-crowned manakin) is the source of this 96-nucleotide long non-coding RNA. RefSeq lists it as uncharacterized. NCBI's taxonomy places the organism in Eukaryota, Metazoa, Chordata, Aves, Passeriformes, Pipridae. The transcript has 3 exons. The record is from RefSeq and is a predicted model, not a curated record.
UGGAGUACUGUCCCCAUGCUGGAGCAGGGGAAGGACUCCUCUCCCUGAGCAAUGGCAGAAACAACCUGUGGCAAACUGACCAUAACCUCCAUUCCC